This 109-nucleotide ribosomal RNA is filed under the name Acidobacteriota bacterium. RNAcentral describes it as "Acidobacteria bacterium partial 23S ribosomal RNA". It matches the Rfam family "Bacterial large subunit ribosomal RNA", at positions 1837 to 1943 of the family's 2925-position model. Lineage: Bacteria; Pseudomonadati; Acidobacteriota. The record is from RNAcentral.
AACGACGUAUAGGGUCUGACGCCUGCCCGGUGCUGGAAGGUUAAAGAGAGGGGUCAGCCGCAAGGCAAAGCUCCGAACUGAAGCCCCAGUAAACGGCGGCCGUAACUAU